Molecule: ribosomal RNA, 351 nt
Filed under: uncultured bacterium
Lineage: Bacteria
Description: bacterial SSU rRNA
Rfam family: Bacterial small subunit ribosomal RNA
Source: RNAcentral
GGUGUAUAGUUAAUAGCAUUACACUGUGACGUUAGCUACAGAAGAAGCACCGGCAAACUCCGUGCCAGCAGCCGCGGUAAUACGGAGGGUGCGAGCGUUAAUCGGAAUUACUGGGCGUAAAGCGCGCGUAGGCGGUUAUUUAAGUGAGGUGUGAAAUCCCUGGGCUCAACCUAGGAACUGCAUUUCAAACUGGAUAACUUGAGUAUGUCAGAGGGUAUUGGAAUUUCCCCGUGUAGCAGUGAAAUGCGUAGAUAUGGGAAGGAACAUCAGUGGCGAAGGCGAAUACCUGGGAUAAUACUGACGCUGAGGUGCGAAAGCGUGGGGAGCAAACGGGAUUAGAUACCCUGGUAG